This 346-nucleotide ribosomal RNA is filed under the name Methylobacterium sp. IGS68. Its description in RNAcentral is "bacterial SSU rRNA". It matches the Rfam family "Bacterial small subunit ribosomal RNA", at positions 88 to 451 of the family's 1533-position model. The record is from RNAcentral. Lineage: Bacteria; Pseudomonadati; Pseudomonadota; Alphaproteobacteria; Hyphomicrobiales; Methylobacteriaceae.
GGGGUCAGCGGCAGACGGGUGAGUAACACGUGGGAACGUACCCUUUGGUUCGGAAUAACGCUGGGAAACUAGCGCUAAUACCGGAUACGCCCUUUUGGGGAAAGGCUUGCUGCCGAAGGAUCGGCCCGCGUCUGAUUAGCUAGUUGGUGGGGUAAUGGCCUACCAAGGCGACGAUCAGUAGCUGGUCUGAGAGGAUGAUCAGCCACACUGGGACUGAGACACGGCCCAGACUCCUACGGGAGGCAGCAGUGGGGAAUAUUGGACAAUGGGCGCAAGCCUGAUCCAGCCAUGCCGCGUGAGUGAUGAAGGCCUUAGGGUUGUAAAGCUCUUUUGUCCGGGACGAUAA